ACCCCCGCCGCACGUGGGCAGGGCGCCGAGCACUGGCCGGUCGGCGAGAAGGGGCGCGCCGUCCACCUGCAGACGCCCAGCACCCGGCCCGCGGCUGGACGGGCGCGGUGGGGCGUGGUUAAACCACACCUGCGGGCAACCGAGAACGGAACUCUGCGUCCCUUGCCCACGCGCGCGACUCGGGAACUGGCCGGGGUAGGGACAGCGUUUCCAAAGUGUUAAAAUGUCUUCAAACUUUUACGUUUUCACGUUGUCUUUUCAUGGUAUCGGGUGUAAUGUUCAAAAACAAAAACAAAAACCUCAAUUUCGAGUUUUGCACCAACAUAUGUUUAUUGCGUGUAUUGCUCUAAGAGUCAGAAAGUUUUUAAUUCAUCAAGGAAGUUUUUUAAAAAGGAGGGCUCGUCCGGGAUUUGAACCCGGGACCUCUCGCACCCUAAGCGAGAAUCAUACCCCUAGACCAACGAGCCGAUGGAAUAUUCUGCUGCCUGCUAUACUAAAGGAAGGGAAAGAUACUUAUUCUGGCGCCCCCAAGUGGUUAUUUACAUAUUGAGUCUCCAGCGUUCGCAUGGUUUUGUGUUCUAGAGUUUUCUAUUUUCCUUUUUAACUUUUUAUCUUCGAGAAUCCGACACAGAAGAAAACAAACGGUCUCGUUACCAGCGUAAUAUUUACCUCUUAUUUCGAAAACCGCUCCAUCAGAGUAUCUUACUUGCCUCUCACAACGAUGCAGGAAGACCGACAGUAACAAAACUUCAGAAUAUCGAUUGCCCAACCCACAGUGAUAAAUAUGUGUGUCCUGGUGAAGGAACACCUGUGACCUGUGACCCUCUGCAAGGGACAUUCUUCCCUUGUAGGUUUCUGUGAAGCAGAAGUGGGGUCCAGGGAGGCAGAGGAUCCUAAGGAGCAUUUUCUCCCCGUCGCAGUGAAUGAAGAAGCCUGGCGACAUGUACUUCUACAGUCAACCUCUCUCUAAGGACCCCCAUUAUUCUUGUUACCCCAAUUUGGUGCCCAGAAAUAUCAUAGACACUAGAACUCUAAUUUUCAGUAUUUUCUAGCAAAAAAUGCAACCCUUCUGAAUUAAGCCGUCCUGGCAAUAGAAAUGUCAAUGAAAUUGAUUCAGCUUCAGGCAAA
Long non-coding RNA from Neofelis nebulosa (Clouded leopard), 1128 nucleotides. RefSeq lists it as uncharacterized. Lineage: Eukaryota; Metazoa; Chordata; Mammalia; Carnivora; Felidae. The record is from RefSeq and is a predicted model, not a curated record. The transcript is spliced from 2 exons.